UGCAAGCCGCGGCGGUAAUACGACGGUACCUCGCGUAGUUCGGAAUUACUGGGCUUAAAGAGCUCGUAGGUGGUUUAAAACAGUUGAUGGUGAAAUCCCAAGGCUCAACCUUGGAACUGCCAUCAAAACUUUUUAGCUAGAGUGUGAUAGAGGUAAGUGGAAUUUCUAGUGUAGAGGUGAAAUUCGUAGAUAUUAGAAAGAACACCAAAUGCGAAGGCAACUUACUGGGUCACUACUGAAACUGAGGAGCGCAAGCAUGGGUCGCGAAGAGGAUUAGAUA
This 280-nucleotide ribosomal RNA is filed under the name uncultured bacterium. RNAcentral's name for it is "partial 16S ribosomal RNA". It matches the Rfam family "Bacterial small subunit ribosomal RNA", at positions 506 to 784 of the family's 1533-position model. The record is from RNAcentral.